Parelaphostrongylus tenuis is the source of this 75-nucleotide non-coding RNA. The record is from the annotation of a GenBank genome assembly. Lineage: Eukaryota; Metazoa; Nematoda; Chromadorea; Rhabditida; Metastrongylidae.
GCGUCAGAAGUAUAAUGGGUUAGAGCACGCAUUCUUGGACAGAGUGAGAUGUGGGUUCAAGUCCCGUUUGACGCA